GACGAACGCUGGCGGCGUGCUUAACACAUGCAAGUCGAACGGAAAGGCCCUGCUUUUGUGGGGUGCUCGAGUGGCGAACGGGUGAGUAACACGUGAGUAACCUGCCCUUGACUGUGGGAUAACUUCAGGAAACUGGGGCUAAUACCGGAUAGGAGCUCCUGCUGCAUGGUGGGGGUUGGAAAGUUUCGGCGGGUGGGGAUGGACUCGCGGCUUAUCAGCUUGUUGGUGGGGUAGUGGCUUACCAAGGCUUUGACGGGUAGCCGGCCUGAGAGGGUGACCGGCCACAUUGGGACUGAGAUCCGGCCCAGCCUCCUACGGGAGGCAGCAGUGGGGAAUAUUGCACAAUGGGCGGAAGCCUGAUGCAGCACCGCCGCGUGCGGGAUGACGGCCUUCGGGUUGUAACCCGCUUUCGCCUGUGACGAAGCGUGAGUGACGGUAAUGGGUAAAGAAGCACCGGCUAACUACGUG
This 468-nucleotide ribosomal RNA is filed under the name uncultured bacterium. Its description in RNAcentral is "partial 16S ribosomal RNA". It matches the Rfam family "Bacterial small subunit ribosomal RNA", at positions 28 to 507 of the family's 1533-position model. The record is from RNAcentral.